AUGAAGAUGUACAAUCAAC
RNAcentral lists this microRNA (19 nucleotides) under Ananas comosus (pineapple). RNAcentral describes it as "microRNA s1047_c133a". Lineage: Eukaryota; Viridiplantae; Streptophyta; Magnoliopsida; Poales; Bromeliaceae. The record is from RNAcentral.